UCACUGGUAAGCUGGUCACCUGGAAGCAACGCAUCAGUUAGCCACUGAAAAGGGGUAAUAUUUAUUGACAUACUUUGGAAAAGACUGGAUGAGUUGCUCUGCGACUUCCCACUCUAACAUAUGUUUCUCUGAGUUUCUACAACUUCAGCUAAAUGUUUUAAGGAAGAAAAGAACAACAGAAUAUGUGCUAAUUUUGAUUGAUUGAUGCUCCCUCCUAUAGCAGCAUACAAAUUUUAGAGUGGGAGAAA
Molecule: long non-coding RNA, 248 nt
Filed under: Homo sapiens (human)
Lineage: Eukaryota; Metazoa; Chordata; Mammalia; Primates; Hominidae
Description: non-protein coding ENOX1-AS2:2
Source: RNAcentral